UUGAGAUUAACUGUUCAAAGGAUGUAAAGGUUCAAGGCAUCAUUGGACCUUGUACUUCCCUGGAGAAGAAAAGUCCUUUGUCUUCAGACACUGUUAUUUGUCAAGGAAACACUAGCGCUUGGAAGAUGUGCGGUCUUGACAGAAAAACAUCACUUUGCUUUGUAUAUGAUAUUGCAAAAAAAGAUGGCCCAGAUUCAAUUGGUCAAUCAACAAGCAAUCAGUUUUACUUUCAAUUCUUAACCUACUAUCAGCACAAUGAGGGUCAGAUGAGAUUAAGAUCAACCACAAUAUCCAGAAGAUGGGUCUCUGGCGCGGAUAAUGUCGAG
Setaria italica (foxtail millet) is the source of this 326-nucleotide long non-coding RNA. RefSeq lists it as uncharacterized. Lineage: Eukaryota; Viridiplantae; Streptophyta; Magnoliopsida; Poales; Poaceae. The record is from RefSeq and is a predicted model, not a curated record. The transcript has 3 exons.